GAUGAAGAACGCAGCGAAAUGCGAUAAGUAGUGUGAAUUGCAGAAUUCAGUGAAUCAUCGAAUCUUUGAACGCACAUUGCGCCCCUUGGUAUUCCAUGGGGCAUGCCUGUUCGAGCGUCAUUUGUACCUUCAAGCUCUGCUUGGUGGUGGGUGUUUGUCUCGCCUCUGCGUGUAGACUCGCCUCAAAACAAUUGGCAGCCGGCGUAUUGAUUUCGGAGCGCAGUACAUCUCGCGCUUUGCACUCAUAACGACGACGUCCAAAAGUACAUUUUUACACUCUUGACCUCGGAUCAGGUAGGGAUACCCGCUGAACUUAAGCAUAUCAAUAAGCGGAGGA
Molecule: unclassified non-coding RNA, 337 nt
Filed under: soil metagenome
Description: partial contains 5.8S ribosomal RNA, internal transcribed spacer 2, and large subunit ribosomal RNA
Rfam family: 5.8S ribosomal RNA (bases 1-120)
Source: RNAcentral